AUACGGAGGGUGCAAGCGUUAUUCGGAAUCACUGGGCGUAAAGGACGCGUAGGCGGGUUUGUAAGUCAGGUGUGAAAUCCUACAGCUCAACUGUAGAACUGCACUUGAAACUACAGACCUAGAGUAUGGAAGGGGCAGAUGGAAUUAGUGGUGUAGGGGUAAAAUCCGUAGAUAUCACUAGGAAUACCGAAAGCGAAGGCGAUCUGCUGGGACAUUACUGACGCUGGGGCGUGAAAGCGUGGGGAGCAAACAGGAUUAGAAACCCUAGUAGUCC
Molecule: ribosomal RNA, 274 nt
Filed under: uncultured bacterium
Lineage: Bacteria
Description: partial 16S ribosomal RNA
Rfam family: Bacterial small subunit ribosomal RNA
Source: RNAcentral